RNAcentral lists this ribosomal RNA (253 nucleotides) under uncultured bacterium. RNAcentral's name for it is "partial 16S ribosomal RNA". It matches the Rfam family "Bacterial small subunit ribosomal RNA", at positions 524 to 776 of the family's 1533-position model. The record is from RNAcentral.
UACGUAGGGUGCGAGCGUUAAUCGGAAUUACUGGGCGUAAAGCGAGCGCAGACGGUUACUUAAGCAGGAUGUGAAAUCCCCGGGCUUAACCUGGGAACUGCGUUCUGAACUGGGUGACUAGAGUGUGUCAGAGGGAGGUAGAAUUCCACGUGUAGCAGUGAAAUGCGUAGAGAUGUGGAGGAAUACCGAUGGCGAAGGCAGCCUCCUGGGAUGACACUGACGUUCAUGCGCGAAAGCGUGGGUAGCAAACAGG